This 669-nucleotide ribosomal RNA is filed under the name Glabellula sp. MDT-2010. RNAcentral's name for it is "eukaryotic LSU rRNA". It matches the Rfam family "Eukaryotic large subunit ribosomal RNA", at positions 2374 to 2861 of the family's 3401-position model. The record is from RNAcentral. Lineage: Eukaryota; Metazoa; Arthropoda; Insecta; Diptera; Bombyliidae.
AGGGAACGGGCUUGGAAUAAUUGCGGGGAAAGAAGACCCUGUUGAGUUUGACUCUAGUCUGGUAGUGUAAGGAGACAUAAGAGGUGUAGCAUAAGUGGGAGAUUUUUAGUUUUCUUUUCGGAGAGGCUAAGUUAUCAACAAUGAAAUACCACUACUCUUAUUGUUUCCUUACUUACUUGAUAAAAUGGAACAUGUUUCAUUUACUUAGCCAUUUUAAGAAUGUACUUUAUGUAUAUUUUAUGGUAUUUUGUUUUGAUGCAAGCUUCUUGAUCAAAGUACUAAGAGUUUGUUAUAUACACCAAACAGAUAUCGGUUAUUGAAAAUGGAUUAUGAUAUUUAUUAUCAUGUCUAUCGAAAAUAUACCGGAUCUGGUAUAACUAUUAUACUCCCGUAUGAUCCAAUUUGAGGACAUUGCCAGGUGGGGAGUUUGACUGGGGCGGUACAUCUCUCAAAUAAUAACGGAGGUGUCCCAAGGCCAGCUCAGUGCGGACAGAAACCACACAUAGAGCAAAAGGGCAAAUGCUGACUUGAUCUCGGUGUUCAGUACACACAGAGACGGCAAAAGCUCGGCCUAUCGAUCCUUUUGGUCUUAAAGAGUUUUUAACAAGAGGUGUCAGAAAAAUUACCACAGGGGUAACUGGCAUGUGGCAGCCAAGCCUUCAUAGCGAC